This 484-nucleotide long non-coding RNA is filed under the name Hordeum vulgare. Its description in RNAcentral is "long non-coding RNA (HVUL_LNC001716)". The record is from RNAcentral. Lineage: Eukaryota; Viridiplantae; Streptophyta; Magnoliopsida; Poales; Poaceae.
GGUGUGGGAGAGAGUAUCUGCCGGUAAUUGAGAAGACUAGUCGGAGGGAAACAGGGAGAGGGGAUUAGGGGACUGCAACUUGUUAAUUAAUUAACUUCACUUCAGUUUAACUUCCUAUGAUCCACACCAAUCUUAAUUCAGUUUGGUCACCUUAACUAAACUAGUAAAAGUUGUUUGACUCGCAUGUGUAAUUAUCCAGGGCUGGCUUCACUAGGAAAUAUUGCACCUUGGGUUCAUUAGUUACCCCAUCUUGCAGGUUGAUUCAUUGGCUCUGUAUGAGGAGUAGAGAUGAACAAGUGUGCGCUGCUAGUUUUGUAGUUAUGCGGUUUUUAGUUCAGCCAUGUAUGUAUUUGCCGAUCAUUCAUAGUUCUGCACUUAAAAUUCAGCAAAUUCAUAGUGUGAAAUUAGCAUUAAAGAAAUUAAACCGCUUGCAUUUCAUGGACCAGCUUUAGCACUUGCUAGCUUUGAUCUAUGCAUAUACAAC